Molecule: ribosomal RNA, 253 nt
Filed under: uncultured bacterium
Lineage: Bacteria
Description: partial 16S ribosomal RNA
Rfam family: Bacterial small subunit ribosomal RNA
Source: RNAcentral
UACGUAGGGUGCAAGCGUUGUCCGGAAUUAUUGGGCGUAAAGAGCUCGUAGGCGGUUUGUCGCGUCUGCUGUGAAAACUCGGGGCUUAACCCCGGGCCUGCAGUGGGUACGGGCAGACUGGAGUACUGCAGGGGAGACUGGAAUUCCUGGUGUAGCGGUGGAAUGCGCAGAUAUCAGGAGGAACACCGGUGGCGAAGGCAGCUCGCUGGGACGGUACUGACGCUGAGACGCGAAAGCGUGGGGAGCAAACAGG